RNAcentral lists this ribosomal RNA (426 nucleotides) under uncultured bacterium. RNAcentral's name for it is "partial 16S ribosomal RNA". It matches the Rfam family "Bacterial small subunit ribosomal RNA", at positions 354 to 796 of the family's 1533-position model. The record is from RNAcentral.
GUGAGGAAUUUUCCGCAAUGGGCGAAAGCCUGACGGAGCAAUGCCGCGUGAAGGAUGAAGGCCUAUGGGUUGUAAACUUCUUUUCUUAGAGAAGAAUAUUGACGGUAUCUGAGGAAUAAGCAUCGGCUAACUCUGUGCCAGCAGCCGCGGUAAGACAGAGGAUGCAAGCGUUAUCCGGAAUGAUUGGGCGUAAAGCGUCUGUAGGUGGCUUCAAAAGUCUCCUGUCAAAGCUCAGGGCUUAACCCUGGGCCGGCAGGAGAAACUCUGAGGCUAGAGUUUGGUAGGGGCAGAGGGAAUGCCCGGUGGAGCGGUGAAAUGCGUAGAGAUCGGGAGGAACACCAAAGGCGAAAGCACUCUGCUGGGCCACAACUGACACUGAGAGACGAAAGCGAGGGGAGCAAAAGGGAUUAGAAACCCCAGUAGUCC